This 406-nucleotide ribosomal RNA is filed under the name uncultured bacterium. RNAcentral's name for it is "partial 16S ribosomal RNA". It matches the Rfam family "Bacterial small subunit ribosomal RNA", at positions 29 to 526 of the family's 1533-position model. The record is from RNAcentral.
AUUGAACGCUGGCGGCAGGCCUAACACAUGCAAGUCGAACGAGUGGCGGACGGGUGAGUAAUGUCUGUGAAAAUGCCCGAUGUAGGGGGAUAACUACUCGAAACGGUAGCUAAUACCCCAUACCACCUGAUGUGCCCACAUGGGAGUAGCUUGUAGGUGAGGUAACGGCUCACCUGGGCGACGAUCCCUAGCUGGUCUGCGAGGAUGACGGGAAACACUGGAACGGAGACACGGUGCAGAGGCCUACGGGAGGAAGGAGUGGGGAAUAUUGCACAAUGGGGGCAAGCCUGAUGCAGACAUGCCGCGUGUAGGAAGAAGGCCUGAGGGUUGUAAAGUACUUUCAGCGAGGAGGCGUUACUCGAAGAAGAAGCACCGGCUAACUCCGUGCCAGCAGCCGCGGUAAUAC